UUUCCGUAGGUGAACCUGCGGAAGGAUCAUUAAUUACGAAAGCAAUAGCCCCUUCGGGGGUUAUCGCAUCCACCCUUUGUCUACGUGUACCUCUGUUGUUUCCUCGGCGGGCUUGCCCGCCGCUAGGAACCCCUUAAACUCUUGUAUUUACAGUAUUAAAAUCUCUGAUAACUAUUUAAAUUAUUACAACUUUCAACAAUGGAUCUCUUGGUUCUGGCAUCGAUGAAGAACGCAGC
Molecule: unclassified non-coding RNA, 236 nt
Filed under: uncultured fungus
Lineage: Eukaryota; Fungi
Description: sequence contains ITS1, 5.8S rRNA gene
Rfam family: 5.8S ribosomal RNA (bases 188-236)
Source: RNAcentral